ACGGGUGAGUAACACGUAGGUAACCUGCCUAUGAGACUGGGAUAACUAUCGGAAACGAUAGCUAAGACCGGAUAACUGGUUUUCUCGCAUGAGAGAAUCAUGAAACACGGAGCAAUCUGUGGCUUAUAGAUGGGCCUGCGGCGCAUUAGCUAGUUGGUAGGGUAAUGGCCUACCAAGGCGACGAUGCGUAGCCGACCUGAGAGGGUGACCGGCCACACUGGGACUGAGACACGGCCCAGACUCCUACGGGAGGCAGCAGUAGGGAAUCUUCCGCAAUGGACGCAAGUCUGACGGAGCAACGCCGCGUGAGUGAUGAAGGUUUUCGGAUCGUAAAGCUCUGUUGCCCUAGACGAACAGCAUGAGGAGUAACUGCCUUGUGUGUGACGGUAUAGGAGAAGAAAGCCCCGGCUAACUACGUGCCAGCAGCCGCGGUAAUACGUAGGGGGCAAGCGUUGUCCGGAAUUAUUGGGCGUAAAGCGCGCGCAGGCGGUUAAUUAAGUUGGGUGUUUAAGCCCGGGGCUCAACCCCGGUUCGCAUCCAAAACUGGUUGACUUGAGUGUAGGAGAGGAAAGUGGAAUUCCACGUGU
RNAcentral lists this ribosomal RNA (587 nucleotides) under uncultured bacterium. RNAcentral describes it as "bacterial SSU rRNA". It matches the Rfam family "Bacterial small subunit ribosomal RNA", at positions 102 to 676 of the family's 1533-position model. The record is from RNAcentral.